This is a long non-coding RNA of Leptinotarsa decemlineata (Colorado potato beetle), 1526 nucleotides long. The record is from RefSeq and is a predicted model, not a curated record. NCBI's taxonomy places the organism in Eukaryota, Metazoa, Arthropoda, Insecta, Coleoptera, Chrysomelidae.
UGCGUUUGUGUGUGUGUACAUUAUCUUCAAUAAACAGAUAUGGAUCUAAACAAAAUUAACGGAAUUUAUCUUGUAGACACAGAGAAUAAGAAACCUGUGGAGAAAUUACAAAAUCUUCCGCUAGGAGAGCCGCUGAAAAUUUUCCCAGACUAAUUCGUGCAGACGAAAUUUGGAAAGACAGUACUGCUCGAGUUGGAGAAGCAUAUAACGUUUCUACCGCAGAGUUACAAAGACCUACGAGUAAUUUAUAAAUCAUUUCGAAAAAGAAAAGUACGCCAUCGUGUUCAGAGGGCUGAUCAAUACGGGGAAAGCCAAUCCUGCAACAUCCUUCGAAAUUGUAGAAAAUUGAGAUAGUUAUAUACCCUCCGCCCCUCAGUACAACAGAAACAUGUUUCAUCGCUUAACUUUGAGAAUCAUCUCCGUUCAUUGCUUCACCACGUUUGACCAAGGUUCGAGUUUUUCCAGCGGUAGAUACCGAGUAGUACUUCCAGCUUCCGUUUGCAGCGUUCAGCAAGCAUUCAUUUGUGUAUUUGUCGCAGGAAAAACUUUUUUUUUUUUUGAAGUUGAAAAUGGUGUUUUCAAAAACUUUAUCGCAAAUUGAUAAAUUGCUUGAAUUAAUUAAACAAAAUUAUUCAAGUUCCGUUGCACGAACGUCGUUGAAUUUGAUUAGUAGGCAUAUUAGAAAAUGUGAGUCGGCAAUGAAAAAAAUUAAAUUUUCACUGGGUGAAAAAAGAAAAUUAUUAGUAAAAUUUGGGAAUUGAAGCGCAUUAGAUGUAUAAUAAAUGUUAUGAAAAACGAUAAGUAUAUUGGAUCAGGUUUGAAACGAAGCAGUAGAGUUAAAUGGGAAAAUGUAAAUGCAAUUUUCUAAGGUAAAGUGAGGACAGGUGUAAUUAUAAAUUUAGCGCACAAAGUGCCAAAAUUUUUGAGUGAUGCAUAUUUUCUUUUCAAAUCUAGAAUUUCCAAAAUUCCAAAGUGAACAUGACAUUAUUGGGGGAUUUCAUCAAAAUAUCGAAUGACGGGGAAAUUAUCGAUAGAAAAUAUUUCAAUACUCGUAAUGAAAUCAUUGAUUUGGAGACAGAUUUGUCUACUUGGUACAAUGAACAUGUUGUGGAUGUUAUUUUGAAUAAACUCGAUGAAUUUCAGGAAAGAGACUCUGGUUGGGCAUUGAGUAAAAUUCUUUUGCUUGAGGUAGCAAUCAAUAAAUAUGAAAUGGGCAACGGUGCAUCAUUCAUACGUUUACCCAAAGAAAUUGCAAACAAGUAUGCAUGUGUGAAUCUUGAUAAUCAAGAUGAUGCGUGUUUCUUCAGAGCAAUCGUAAGUGGUUUGUAUCCUCCCAAAGGAAAGAUUACACGUGCAUCUUCAUAUCCAAAUUAUGAUUCGGUUUUAAAUAUAAAGGGUUUGGAAAUUCCUAUGCCAAUUCGCUGCAUCACAAAAUUUGAAAAACAAAACGAUAUUUCUGUGAAUGUAUAUAGUUUAGAAAUUAAUGUUGUCAAUGAAAAGACAUUUUAUGAAGUAGUGCCUGCACG